This 41-nucleotide unclassified non-coding RNA is filed under the name Saccharolobus solfataricus. Lineage: Archaea; Thermoproteati; Thermoproteota; Thermoprotei; Sulfolobales; Sulfolobaceae. The record is from RNAcentral.
GGUUUUCUGAGUUGUGAAGACCAUUCCCCUCACUGAGGCAG